This 596-nucleotide ribosomal RNA is filed under the name uncultured Bacteroidales bacterium. Its description in RNAcentral is "bacterial SSU rRNA". It matches the Rfam family "Bacterial small subunit ribosomal RNA", at positions 77 to 668 of the family's 1533-position model. The record is from RNAcentral. Lineage: Bacteria; Pseudomonadati; Bacteroidota; Bacteroidia; Bacteroidales.
AGCUUGCUUUCUUUGCUGGCGACCGGCGCACGGGUGAGUAACACGUAUCCAACCUGCCCUUUACUCGGGGAUAGCCUUUCGAAAGAAAGAUUAAUACCCGAUAGCAUAAUGAUUCCGCAUGGUUUCAUUAUUAAAGGAUUCCGGUAAAGGAUGGGGAUGCGUUCCAUUAGGUUGUUGGUGAGGUAACGGCUCACCAAGCCUUCGAUGGAUAGGGGUUCUGAGAGGAAGGUCCCCCACAUUGGAACUGAGACACGGUCCAAACUCCUACGGGAGGCAGCAGUGAGGAAUAUUGGUCAAUGGGCGCUAGCCUGAACCAGCCAAGUAGCGUGAAGGAUGAAGGCUCUAUGGGUCGUAAACUUCUUUUAUAUAAGAAUAAAGUGCAGUAUGUAUACUGUUUUGUAUGUAUUAUAUGAAUAAGGAUCGGCUAACUCCGUGCCAGCAGCCGCGGUAAUACGGAGGAUCCGAGCGUUAUCCGGAUUUAUUGGGUUUAAAGGGAGCGUAGGUGGACUGGUAAGUCAGUUGUGAAAGUUUGCGGCUCAACCGUAAAAUUGCAGUUGAUACUGUCAGUCUUGAGUACAGUAGAGGUGGGCGGAAUU